GGUUUUAUAGUUUAGUGGUUAGAAUACUUUAAAAAAGGGAGACCUAGGUUUAAUUCCUAGUAGGAGCG
Non-coding RNA from Diaporthe citri, 68 nucleotides. NCBI's taxonomy places the organism in Eukaryota, Fungi, Ascomycota, Sordariomycetes, Diaporthales, Diaporthaceae. The record is from the annotation of a RefSeq genome assembly.